RNAcentral lists this transfer RNA (73 nucleotides) under Bacteroidota bacterium. Its description in RNAcentral is "Bacteroidetes bacterium tRNA-Gly". It matches the Rfam family "tRNA". Rfam says of the family: Transfer RNA (tRNA) molecules are approximately 80 nucleotides in length. Their secondary structure includes four short double-helical elements and three loops (D, anti-codon, and T loops). The record is from RNAcentral. Lineage: Bacteria; Pseudomonadati; Bacteroidota. RNAcentral also lists the same sequence under 7 other names.
GCGGGAGUAGCUCAGUUGAUAGAGCAUUAGCCUUCCAAGCUGAGGGUCGCGGGUUUGAGUCCCGUCUCCCGCU